RNAcentral lists this ribosomal RNA (738 nucleotides) under uncultured bacterium. Its description in RNAcentral is "bacterial SSU rRNA". It matches the Rfam family "Bacterial small subunit ribosomal RNA", at positions 28 to 762 of the family's 1533-position model. The record is from RNAcentral.
AUUGAACGCUGGCGGCAUGCCUUACACAUGCAAGUCGAACGGUAACGCGGGGCAACCUGGCGACGAGUGGCGAACGGGUGAGUAAUGCAUCGGAACGUGCCUGGUAGUGGGGGAUAACUGCUCGAAAGAGCAGCUAAUACCGCAUACGACCUGAGGGUGAAAGGGGAGGUCUCAAGACCUCUCGCUAUCAGAGCGGCCGAUGUCGGAUUAGCUAGUUGGUGGGGUAAAGGCCCACCAAGGCAACGAUCCGUAGCUGGUCUGAGAGGACGACCAGCCACACUGGGACUGAGACACGGCCCCAGACUCCUACGGGAGGCAGCAAUGGGGAAUUUUGGGCAAUGGACGCAAGUCUGAUCCAGCCAUGCCGCGUGCGGGAAGAAGGCCUCGGGUUGUAAACCGCUUUCGUCAGGGAAGAAAUCUUCUGGGCUAAUACCCUGGGAGGAUGACGGUACCUGAAGAAUAAGCACCGGCUAACUACGUGCCAGCAGCCGCGGUAAUACGUAGGGUGCAAGCGUUAAUCGGAAUUACUGGGCGUAAAGCGUGCGCAGGCGGUUGUGCAAGACAGGUGUGAAAUCCCCGAGCUCAACUUGGGAACUGCACUUGUGACUGCACGGCUAGAGUACGGUAGAGGGGAGUGGAAUUCCCGCGUGUAGCAGUGAAAUGCGUAGAUAUGCGGAGGAACACCGAUGGCGAAGGCAGCUCCCCUGGACCUGUACUGACGCUCAUGCACGAAAGCGU